UACGAAGGGGGCUAGCGUUGUUCGGAAUUACUGGGCGUAAAGCGCACGUAGGCGGAUGUCUAAGUCGGGGGUGGAAGCCUUGGGCUCAACCCAAGAAUUGCCUUCGAUACUGGAUAUCUUGAGACCGGGAGAGGUGAGUGGAAUUCCGAGUGUAGAGGUGAAAUUCGUAGAUAUUCGGAAGAACACCAGUGGCGAAGGCGGCUCACUGGCCCGGUUCUGACGCUGAGGUGCGAAAGCGUGGGGAGCAAACAGG
This 253-nucleotide ribosomal RNA is filed under the name uncultured bacterium. RNAcentral's name for it is "partial 16S ribosomal RNA". It matches the Rfam family "Bacterial small subunit ribosomal RNA", at positions 524 to 776 of the family's 1533-position model. The record is from RNAcentral.